Molecule: long non-coding RNA, 2526 nt
Organism: Syngnathus typhle (broad-nosed pipefish)
Lineage: Eukaryota; Metazoa; Chordata; Actinopteri; Syngnathiformes; Syngnathidae
Exons: 3
Source: RefSeq, a predicted model, not a curated record
UCAGACUUUGCGCCAUCGCUCAAAUGUGAUUUUUGGAGAUAACGAAAGUGAAGAGAAAAAAAACAAUGGAAAAAAACAAGUAUCAAAUCAACACCUGCCUAUUAAAGCAGUCAUCAUUUCAUUGUCUUGGCAGGCGAGCGACACUAGCAGCGAGUAGAACGAGUCCACCGACUCCUUCAAUGAGCAGGGUGUCAUUACAGACAUAGAAGACCACGUAUCCAGGAAUGCAUCUUUAACUCUGCAAAGAUCUGUGUCAUAUUUCAGAGAGGGACUUGCAGUGUGACAAAUCUCAGAGACAUUUCUGAAGCAAGGGGAAAAUCACUUACGAAUGUAUUCCCCGAGUGUUAUUUACGUAAAAGCCAUAGCAAAUGAUUUCCCCUCCCUUGCAUGUGCUGAGGAUGUUUAGAUGGGCCCACUGGCGGCACGCCAGGUCUGGAAUGAGAAAGGCACUGGCCAUGAUGGGACAAACAUGAUAGCGGUGCGGAGGAAUUUAUUUUUCUUGGAAACGGUGUCAGAUUAGCACACAGAGCAUGAAGAAAACAAUAGCGGAGGAGGAAAAUGACAUGACCUACUGGAUGCAGAUGGAAAAAAGAAAAAAAAAAAAGUGGUGUUAGUGCACAGACCAACUAUCACUCACUUUUCCAAUUCAGGUCAGGGCUUUUCCACUUCAGUCCUGUAGAUGGCAUGUUGUCAAGAGUCAAAGAUGGCCAUCUGCAAAAAACCCAAAACAAAAGCUUGUCAUUUGUGCCCAAAACUUCCAAAGAUAAAGCCUUAUGUUGCAGGCAGAUCAGAAGCCUUCAUAUGGCUGCUUAGGAGCUAUCAACAAGGGAACGGGCCAACUCCCAGUCAGAUUUUCUUCCCACAGUGCGUGGCCAGCUUAAGACAGCCUCUUCCAUUCCCAUAGGUGGAGCAAAAGCUCCUUUUAGCCUCUUGCUGUUUAGUUUAUAACCAUGAAGUCAUCAAAUAGAUAAACAAAUCAUGAUGGACCUGAAGCAUCUCCAGUCAGAGGGCGCAAAAUUUGUCUUCAUGGGCCACAUAAAAUGACGUGACGGGCCGUAUCUGGCCCCCGGGCCUGGACUUUGCCACCUAUGCAUUAAGGCAACCUGAAACACUAAAUCCAGACACAAUAGGCAGCGUGAGUGUGUGGAGGAAGAAGUAAGAGGAAGGAGGAGGCGUCGGCGCUGGCUCGCUCCGGUUUGUGCUGCUUCUCACUGGCUUGGCCCCUCAGUGAGGCUGCGAGGUGAGCAGGAGGCUACGAGGAUUUAGGACCCAAGUGUCCUAUAAAGUUCUCACGAGGCUGGCCCGUGCAUCAUUGCCAGUAUGAAGGGAGCCAGCUCGUGCAUCACACUCUGCUUCAGCCAGAUCUUCCAAUGUCAUCUUUGCAACAUACUCGGUGGUGGCAACUGUUGUUGUUUCUUCCCCGUUGGCUGACUCAUCUGCUGACUUAUCUCAGUUGCAAAUGGCAUCAAGUUCUAUUGGGCCUUCGCCUCCUCCAGCCCCUCCAUAAGAGGCUAAGAGUCCAUUUGAGCAGCCUGACCCUUGAACUUUGUAAGGUUUGAUGGCUGCAGAUCAACCUCUCUCUUGGUAGACACCUGACCAGGUCCAGAAAGUAAAAACUGUUGGGCUUUAUCUGCAGGUGAAGUCCUUGGAAGGUCACAAGUAGAGGUCAAGAUUUUUGAAAGGAACAACUACAUCACCAAGAGUCAACGGAAUCUUUGGUGCCACCUAAAACUUCUCCGAAAACAUUUUGGUUAACAGUCAUCAUUUAUGCCAGUGCUUCUUCAGCUCUCGGAAAGGAAGGAUUUUUUUUGCUCACCUUCUGAAAAAGAUGAUGACAUCACCAGCACACUGAUGAAGACAUCCACAUGGACCACAAAACCACAAUGGUGUCUCGCUCUGGCACUCUUCUCCCACUCCAGCACGCCAACAUGCAGCUAUGUGGAGAUGAGCCCAACGACAUCUAAUUUAGUGUCCGUGUGACUGCCGGACCUUUGCAUGGAAAACAUGACGCAGAUAUUCAAUCUGUGGAAAAAGAUUAUUUACAGGAGCGUGACCUGGAUUUGCUUGGAGUUGCCUUCAAGACCAACUUGUGACGAAAUGAUUGAAACAUGACUGAGGUGUUUUGCAAUGGGAACUAAAAGUGGUAGAGCCUCACCCUUGUCCAGGUGCAAGUGAUUUUCAGCUGUGCUUUGCCAAAAACCUUCAUGACUUGGAUCAGGCGGCAGGGCGGAUUUGGAUUUGAAGGGGGCACUUGAUUUUUAUGACUAUUCAUCAAAUGAGUCAUGUGAGCUGGUUCAUAACCAGCCUGAGGGAUUGUCUGCUUGGAAACUGACCUCUUUCUCAUAUCGCUUUGAACCUCCCCACAUUCAGAUAUUAAUGAUAUAUUAUUUGUGUCAAUUUGGCGACUUGGUGAAAAGGUGCUGCAGCCGUGAGUGAAAAUGGAUGACAAAACUUUGUUAAACUUGCAUGUAUUUUUGUAAAAAUCAAAAUAAAUGGAUAAGCAGUAUGAGACUCCCAUCUCUGCUG